RNAcentral lists this ribosomal RNA (295 nucleotides) under uncultured bacterium. RNAcentral's name for it is "partial 16S ribosomal RNA". It matches the Rfam family "Bacterial small subunit ribosomal RNA", at positions 775 to 1067 of the family's 1533-position model. The record is from RNAcentral.
GGAUUAGAUACCCUGGUAGUCCACACUGUAAACGUUGUACACUGGGUGUUAGAAGUAUCGACCCUUCUAGUGCCGUAGCUAACGCGUUAAGUGUACCGCCUGGGGAGUAUGCCCGCAAGGGUGAAACUCAAAGGAAUUGACGGGGGCCCGCACAAGCGGUGGAGCAUGUGGUUUAAUUCGACGAUACGCGAAAAACCUUACCAGGGCUUGACAUUGAUUGGCUGGGUAUAGAGAUAUACCGUUCCCUUCGGGGACCGAUUGACAGGUGCUGCAUGGUUGUCGUCAGCUCGUGCUG